Piliocolobus tephrosceles (Ugandan red Colobus) is the source of this 939-nucleotide long non-coding RNA. RefSeq lists it as uncharacterized. Lineage: Eukaryota; Metazoa; Chordata; Mammalia; Primates; Cercopithecidae. The transcript is spliced from 3 exons. The record is from RefSeq and is a predicted model, not a curated record.
ACAGAAAGUUUAGCACAUACCAUUUAUUAAGUAGAAUUAUUCCUGUUAUAACAAAUCACAAUGUAUAUGUGGAUAAUACAUUUCAAUUCAAGUCUAACAAGUAUCAUUAAAUAUACUUGCAUUAUUAAUACAUACAUAGUCCUCUUCAGAGAUAUGGAAACUUAUUCAGUGAAUACAGACGGCCCCCAGCUUGCAAUGGUUUCACUUAAAAUUUUUUGAUUUUUCAACUGUGCAAAAGCUAUACAGAUUCAGUGGGAAUUAUACUUCAAAUUUUGAAUUUUGCCCUUUCUCCCAGGUAGUGAUGUGUGAUACAAUACUUCUCAAGAUGCUGAGUAGUGGCAAUAAGCCAAAGCUCCCAGUCAGCCAUGAGAUCAACCAAUGAUCAACCAUGAUCAACCAAUACUCUACAAUGUACUGCAUUAUGAGAUUAUUUGUCCAAAUAUAGGCUAAUGAUUACUGGGAUGUAACCCCAUCAUAAGUCAUGGAGAAUCUGUAUACUUAAAGAAAAUGGCAGAUAACUUUCAGCAAGUUUUAUUUAAGAAUGUUUUCACGACCACAGUAUGAAAGGCUCUGUCUUUCACUUUUCCUUAGAAGAUAACAUAAAUGAGGAGGCAAUUCAACUUCAACCACGUGGAUAAGGACAACACUCAGGUGGAAAGGUGUUAUGGGAUGAAUUGUGUUCCCUCUAAAUUCAGAUGUUGAAGUCUUAACCCCAGUACCUCAGAAUGUGACUGUUUCGGGAGACAUGGUCUUUAAAAGUAAAAUUAAGUUAAAAUGAGGUCAUUAGCAUGGGGUCUAAUCCAACCUUCUAAGAAGAGGAAACUUGGACAUAGACACAUACAGAAGGAAGACAAUGAGAAGACACAGGGAGAAAAUGGCCGUCUAUCUGGCAAGGUUGCCCCAGAAGAAACAACCCUACCAAUCCCCUGAUCCUGGACU